CAAUAGCGUAUAUUUAAGUUGUUGCAGUUAAAAGCUCGUAGUUGGAUUUCGGGUGGGACGCAGCGGUCUCGCAUUGCGUUUGUACUGCUGCAGCCCUCCUUCUUGCCGGGGGCGGCCUCUCGGACUUCACUGUCUGGGGGUCAGAAUCGGCGAUGUUACUUUGAGUAAAUUAGAGUGUUCAAAGCAAGCUUACGCUCUGAAUAUAAUAGCAUGGGAUAACACGACAGGACUCUGGCCUAUCGUGUUGGUCUAUAGGACCAGAGUAAUGAUUAAGAGGGACAGUCGGGGGCAUUCGUAUUCCGUUGUCAGAGGUGAAAUUCUUGGAUUUACGGAAGACGAACAUCUGCGAAAGCAUUUGCCAAGGAUGUUUUCAUUGA
Molecule: ribosomal RNA, 377 nt
Filed under: uncultured eukaryote
Lineage: Eukaryota
Description: partial 18S ribosomal RNA
Rfam family: Eukaryotic small subunit ribosomal RNA
Source: RNAcentral